RNAcentral lists this ribosomal RNA (496 nucleotides) under uncultured bacterium. RNAcentral's name for it is "partial 16S ribosomal RNA". It matches the Rfam family "Bacterial small subunit ribosomal RNA", at positions 28 to 506 of the family's 1533-position model. The record is from RNAcentral.
GAUGAACGCUGGCGGCGUGCCUAAUACAUGCAAGUCGAGCGAACGGACGAGAAGCUUGCUUCUCUGAUGUUAGCGGCGGACGGGUGAGUAACACGUGGAUAACCUACCUAUAAGACUGGGAUAACUUCGGGAAACCGGAGCUAAUACCGGAUAAUAUUUUGAACCGCAUGGUUCAAAAGUGAAAGACGGUCUUGCUGUCACUUAUAGAUGGAUCCGUGCUGCAUCAGCUAGUUGGUAAGGUAACGGCUUACCAAGGCAACGAUGCAUAGCCGACCUGAGAGGGUGAUCGGCCACACUGGAACUGAGACACGGUCCAGACUCCUACGGGAGGCAGCAGUAGGGAAUCUUCCGCAAUGGGCGAAAGCCUGACGGAGCAACGCCGCGUGAGUGAUGAAGGUCUUCGGAUCGUAAAACUCUGUUAUUAGGGAAGAACAUAUGUGUAAGUAACUGUGUACAUCUUGACGGUACCUAAUCAGAAAGCCACGGCUAACUACGU